This 436-nucleotide ribosomal RNA is filed under the name Lacticaseibacillus casei. RNAcentral's name for it is "bacterial SSU rRNA". It matches the Rfam family "Bacterial small subunit ribosomal RNA", at positions 349 to 785 of the family's 1533-position model. Lineage: Bacteria; Bacillati; Bacillota; Bacilli; Lactobacillales; Lactobacillaceae. The record is from RNAcentral.
CUUAGACUUGAACGCUUCCUGAGCAGUCUGAUGGAGCACGCCGCGUGAGUGAAGAAGGCUUUCGGGUCGUAAAACUCUGUUGUUGGAGAAGAAUGGUCGGCAGAGUAACUGUUGUCGGCGUGACGGUAUCCAACCAGAAAGCCACGGCUAACUACGUGCCAGCAGCCGCGGUAAUACGUAGGUGGCAAGCGUUAUCCGGAUUUAUUGGGCGUAAAGCGAGCGCAGGCGGUUUUUUAAGUCUGAUGUGAAAGCCCUCGGCUUAACCGAGGAAGUGCAUCGGAAACUGGGAAACUUGAGUGCAGAAGAGGACAGUGGAACUCCAUGUGUAGCGGUGAAAUGCGUAGAUAUAUGGAAGAACACCAGUGGCGAAGGCGGCUGUCUGGUCUGUAACUGACGCUGAGGCUCGAAAGCAUGGGUAGCGAACAGGAUUAGAUAC